CGAACGGGUGAGUAAUGCGUGACCAACCUGCCCCAUGCUCCAGAAUAGCUCUUGGAAACGGGUGGUAAUGCUGGAUGCUCCAACUUGACGCAUGUCUUGUUGGGAAAGUGUUUAGUGGCAUGGGAUGGGGUCGCGUCCUAUCAGCUUGUAGGCGGGGUAAUGGCCCACCUAGGCUUCGACGGGUAGCCGGCCUGAGAGGGCGGACGGCCACAUUGGGUACUGAGAUACGGCCCAGACUCCUACGGGAGGCAGCAGGC
RNAcentral lists this ribosomal RNA (257 nucleotides) under uncultured Gardnerella sp. Its description in RNAcentral is "partial 16S ribosomal RNA". It matches the Rfam family "Bacterial small subunit ribosomal RNA", at positions 99 to 354 of the family's 1533-position model. The record is from RNAcentral. Lineage: Bacteria; Bacillati; Actinomycetota; Actinomycetes; Bifidobacteriales; Bifidobacteriaceae.